UACGGAGGGGGCGAGCGUUGUUCGGAAUCAUUGGGCGUAAAGGGCGCGUAGGCGGCCUCGCAAGUCAGAUGUGAAAGCCCCUGGCUUAACCAGGGAACUGCAUCUGAGACUGCAAGGCUUGAAUCCGGGAGGGGAGAGUGGAAUUCCCAGUGUAGCGGUGAAAUGCGUAGAUAUUGGGAGGAACACCGGUGGCGAAGGCGGCUCUCUGGACCGGUAUUGACGCUGAGGCGCGAAAGCUAGGGGAGCAAACGGG
Molecule: ribosomal RNA, 253 nt
Filed under: uncultured bacterium
Lineage: Bacteria
Description: partial 16S ribosomal RNA
Rfam family: Bacterial small subunit ribosomal RNA
Source: RNAcentral